RNAcentral lists this long non-coding RNA (3413 nucleotides) under Equus caballus (horse). RNAcentral's name for it is "lncRNA (ENSECAG00000044867.1)". The record is from RNAcentral. Lineage: Eukaryota; Metazoa; Chordata; Mammalia; Perissodactyla; Equidae.
CUUAAACGGCACACACCUUUCUGUGCCCUCCUGUAGGGAAAACAGCUUCCGGUUCUCCACCAAGGAGGCUUGCGUCUCGCUGCGGCGACCGAAUGCAUACAGUGGGUGCUGAAGGAUAACUUUCUCGUUAAUGAAUUCAGGUGAAACCACUUCAAAAUAAAGGUUUAGCCAACUUCAAAAAUAAAAACGCCGUAGCCAAUUAUUAUGCAAAGAAGGAUGGGGGGGUGCGGGGGGGGGCGCAGAAAAUCCCUUUCAGGCGGGGCGGGUCCAAGAACCAGCUUAAUAGCUGUGAGCAAUUCGCUUAUCACCCCUUUAAGGCUCUCCGUCCUCUGCAAAAUGAGGAUGACAAUAAAACCUUCUUCACAGGAUUAUUGAGAGUUUCUAAUGAGAUAAUGCAUAUUUAGUGGUUAUGAAUUUUAUUCUAAAACAAAGAAUAUAAAAAAUACCACAUUCAGAAUUUUUCUAAAUCAUACCAGAUCAACUUGCCUCUGUGGGGAGAAAUGAAGCCUCAGUCACGUGUGCGGUCCCCACCCCAUCUCUAGGGUCACACAAGAAUCACUGGUGGAUCUGUGGUGUCCAAAACGCCAGGGUCAGCUCUCUAGCCUUAGUCCAUCAGGGUCACUGCCAACAUCCACCCUUGCCCAAGCCAGCCUGGUGCCUAAAGCCUGUCAGCCCCCUGAGCGUAGGGUUUGGCCUCCUGAGGGGGCUCCUCUGAAGGGUUCAGAAUAUGCCACCCCAAAAUAUGCCACUUUGGCAUGAGGAUUAUAACAAAUUGAAACAGCAAGCAUUAGGAUAUAUUGGAGUAUAUGAGGAAGACAUUUGGUAUAAACCUAAUUCGGCCUGACUUUGUUUUUUCCAAAAGGGCCUGACUGUGGCCAUUGAGCACCCACUGCAUAUCCGCUUUAAAACAUUUCCUAUGGCAAGAACAGAUGGCUUUAAGAUAAAGGUGCAACUUCCCUCCCCCUCCCAACGUUGGCAUCUCCUUAAAGACUAAGCAUCUUUCCUUAGGCUGGGAACUGAUUGCUGUGCUCACCUGUGACCACCCAGCUCAAGGCAACAGACCUGCCACCCUCCUGUGUUCACCGAGACAGCUGACCUAUCUGCUGUUUCCAUCAAUCGCUGUGCUGACAGAGCAGCCUCGUGACUAUUGUAAAAGCGACAUUUCAAUCAUAUGUGAAACAUCCUCUUUGGGGGUAUAUAACCACUCUGUGCACCCCACUUCUUUGGUGCCCUUUCUUCCUUCUGGAAGAAAGGCCCCGGGCCAUGGUCCUCAGAUUUCAGCUCAGAAUAAACUCACCCAAAUUUUCAUUUAUAGAUUGGUUAUGGAUUAUUUUCAUCGACAAUUAUUUUGAGCUGAGGGCAGUUGAGAAUCAACCGACUCAGGAAGAGUUCUCUGCUCUCCCCUUAACUGCCUGAAAGCAGGGCAUACAUCCCCCCUCUCCCUACCAGGAUGAGGAGAGCCUCUGUUAUCACAGGAGACCUGGGCCAGCACCAAAAUGAGUCUGCAUUAAAAAGCCUUACUAAAACUACCCUUAUCUUCCAUUAUUUUCUAGUCACCUUCCCACAAUUUAUCAUCUGUCAAAGCCCAAAUCCCGUCCUUUUGUCUAAUCACUUCUCCACAAUUUAUCUUCCUUUGUAAAAUGGUAUAUAAGCCCCUAUGUCUAACCACUUCUUGAGGUUUUUACUUCUGUUCUAUGAAGCCCUGUGCAUGUGAAAUUAAAAAUGUUAAGUUUCUCCUGUUAACCUCUUUCACCAGUUUAAUUCACAGGUGUCAGUCACUGAACCUAAGAGGAUAGAGGAAAAAGAUUUUUUUCCUCCCCUACACCUCACAGCCCAGUCCUCUGAAUUCCUUCCUCUUCCCCAGGGGGCUUUGGGUGGGGGUGAUGGAACAGGGCUUGUCUUUAUGACUUACAGAAUCCACUGAAAUCUCUGUGGACAUUGCCAACCUUGGGGGAACUUCUCCAAGCCUCUUGUCACUCCAGCACCUUCCACCUCUUCCCCUCUGAAGACCUCAGACUCUGUCCUACGCCCCUAAAGAAAUAUCUCCCACAGUCCCCAACACGACGAGGCAAGAGAGCCAAAACUUGGGAUGGCAAAGAGGGGAAAAAAACAACAGGGAGAACAGCAACGCGAAAAACACAAAUUACUCUCUCGGUAAAUCAUCCUGUAAAACAGUAGCACACGUACGAGGUCAAGCUUCAAGGAAUGGAAAUAAUUGUCACUGAUGCUAGAGGCUGGACUUGGGACUACAGAAUUGUCGCUAGCACUGUACAAUGGCUUUGGGUGGGGCCCAUUCACGUGUUUCCUUUGUUUUAUCCACCCACUCUCCCCUGGUGGCCGCCCUGCUGGUCUGGAUGUGCGCUCUGGGAGCAGAGGGCCCUUGCUGGGAGCUCACUCACUGGACCAUGCCUAGGUCUUUGCUAGGUGAGUUUCUUUUUUUUUUUUUUUUUUUUUUGAGGAAGUGUAGCCCUGAGCUAACUGCUGCCAAUCCUCCUCUUUUUGCUGAGGAAGACUGGCCCUGAGCUAACAUCCAUGCACAUCUUCUUCUACUUUAUAUGUGGGACACCUACCACAGCAUGGCGUGGUGCCAUGUCCACACCCAGGAUCCGAACUGACAAACCCCGGGCCGUGGAGAAGCAGAAUGUGCGCACUUAACCACUGCGCCACUGGGCUGGCCCUGCCCGGAUCCUUCUCACUGGUCUCCACCAGCAGGAGGCAUGUAAAUGGGAUGGUCGACAGCCAAGAGGAGAGCCAGCGCUUAAUGAAGGCGCAGUCUGUGUCGCAUGAUCUCAUCAGACCUCGCAGAAACCUCUGAAGUAGGCAUUGUCAGGUUUACAGAUGAGGAAACUGAGGCUCGGUGAUGUGUUGGCUUUGUGCCCAAGUUCACGCCGCUGAGAAGACACAGAGCUGGACGCUCCUCCUCAGUCCCUGGAGGCUGGUCUCUGCAAUCCAGCAGCCCAGGCGGUUCCCACCCCUCCCUGUGGCCUCCUCGGAAGGUACUGUUCCCCAGCCUGGCAGCAGGUGGGGACAGAACACCACUGGCCCCGCUCAAUUACCUUUGAAGUGUUCCCAGCCCAUGAGGAGGAUACCUGGGUGAGGAGACCAGGUGUCUGCAAGGCUUGGAGGAGACAGUGGCCCCAGGAACCAGCUAAGGUGGGUAAGGGCAGGUCAGCUGGCCAGGUAAACAUCAGGGCCGGCAAAUGUACUUCCUGGCAGAGGGGCCAGCCCAGGAGAGGAAAGGGGCUUUCACCAAGGUGGCCAGUCUGGCACUGUUACCUUGGGCUCACAGUAGAAAUGGAAGCAACACUGCGUUUCUUCUUGGCUCUUUUUAAAGGUUAUGCCAUUUUCCAGUUUUCAGGGGAGAAUCGUCCAGGAGGAUCAUGGUUCCGGUUGAUUCUAUAAAUAAAGAGGAA